RNAcentral lists this long non-coding RNA (1358 nucleotides) under Homo sapiens (human). RNAcentral's name for it is "non-protein coding lnc-RMDN2-3:1". Lineage: Eukaryota; Metazoa; Chordata; Mammalia; Primates; Hominidae. The record is from RNAcentral.
ACAUCCUUGGUGGGACGGAGCAGGAAGGCUGGAGAUUUCAUCAAGCUACUCACAGCAGCAUGCCAUUUAAAAUUCAUGAAUUAUUUAUUUCUGGAAUUUUCCGUUUAAUAUUUUUGGACCACAAUUGACCUCAGGUAACUGAAACUAUGGGUAAGGGGGCCUACUAUAUUAUAUUUGGGAGUUGCAUUUCUGAUCAAGGACUAAGCAGCAAAUAAACCUAACAAUCAUACAUAUGACCUGUAGGUGUUAUAGAGAAACAAUUUUACUUUAGAGUAGAUAUAUUUAUAAAAUAGAAAUUCAACAGCUAUAAAAUUUCAUUAUAAUUUAAAAGUCUUUUUUAUUUUUUUGAGACAGAGUCUCACUUUGUAACCCAGGCUGGAGUGCAGUGGUACGAUCUCAGCUCACUGCAACCUCCACCUCCCGGGUUCAAGUGAUUCUCCUGCCUCAGCCUCCUGAGUACCUGGGAUUACAGGCAUGCGCCAUCACAACCAGCUAACUUUUGUAUUUUUAGUAGAGAUGGGGUUUCACUAUGUUGGCCGGGCUGUUCUCGAACUGCUGACCUCAAGUGAUCCAGCCACCUCGGCCUCCCAAAGUGCUGGGAUUACAGGUAUGAGCCACCAUGUCAGGACAUAAUUUAAAAUAGUCUUAUGCAAUGCACACUGAUUCUGUAAGAAACCCCAACUAUGCUGUGUCAUUAGUUUUACCUUCCAUAAAUAAUAGAAUUUUAGAAACUUGAUUUUGUUGUUGUUGUUUCUUUUUGUUGUUUGCCUUCCUUUCCUGAGCUUUGAGGAGCUCUGGUGGAGAGCAGGGAAUGGAGGUGGCAGGAGGGGAAAUGAGUUGAUGCCUUUUUUAUCUUAUGACAAAUAUUCCUGCUAGGUUCUAAAAUCAUUCAAACUACUCUCAAAAUUGCAUUUGUCUGUUUCAAGAAGUCAUGGCAUCCAAAUAGUUGAAGACCUCUUUGAGUAUUUUCAUUCUGCACACUUGUAGGGCGGGGAUUCUUGAGUUGGAUUUGUCUGGUCCACUUUCUUAGCAGGUUUGUUUUCCUCUUUCUUCUUCCCAUUAAACAACAGUGGGUUACAUUUAAGGUAAAGAAAUUGGAUCACAGAGUGUCCGAGGGCUGUGGGAAGGAGGGAGAUAGUGGCCUUUGCACGUCUGCUUUGAGGAUAAUUUUGUGUAUUUUUCGAAAAACCGUUCCGUUUAUUUUUUAGCACUAGGUGGUAAAGACUUAGUUCCCACAAGCCUCCCUGAGUUGGUUCCUAGUUCUGGCAGCAGUGGCCUCUCAGGAAGUUACUAGAAACUUCAAAACAGCCAAAAGAGAGUCCUGAGUGUUCUUCAGUGAAGUACUAGGUUUAAUUUUC